Molecule: non-coding RNA, 591 nt
Organism: Danio rerio (zebrafish)
Lineage: Eukaryota; Metazoa; Chordata; Actinopteri; Cypriniformes; Danionidae
Source: Ensembl
AUUCGCGGCAACGCGCGCGUUGUCCUGACAACAAGGAUUCACAAACAAACGCAGUUUCUUAACGGUCGUUUAGCAAUCUUUUGUCCGUUUUGUCUCCUUAUUUCGGUCGCGAAAUGAAGAUAAAAUACGUGUUUGUUGAUAUAUUAACUGUAAAUGCCAUUCACAUAUGAACACUAACGUACCACAGUUAAAAUAAAAAGUCACGGUCAAAGGACAAAAGAGAGGGCUACGUUUUUUGGAGAAGCUGGACCAUUUUGACCUUAUCAUCUUCAGCGGUAUAAUUCAGCGAAAUCAAUGAUGUGCAGGGGUUUAAAAAGUACAGCUUGGGAAAUAUAAAGAUGAUGGUUAUUUUAAAGAAGAAGCCUGACACAUUGGAGACUUAACCAUCUUCAAAGGACAAUGCUACAAUUCAAGGAAGUCGACAGUUGUCUCAAUUAUACAGUUUUGCCUUUUUUUGUACCAUAGUCUAAGUUUGUAUUUUGAUUGCCUAGAAGGUAUUUCUUAUUAAAGAAAAUAUAUAUAUAUAUAUAUAUAUAUAUAUAUAUAUAUAUAUUUUUUUUUUUUUUUUUUCUUUUUUUAUAUAUAUAUUAU